AUUGAACGCUGGCGGCAUGCUUUACACAUGCAAGUCGAACGCGAAAGCGGGGGCAACCCUGCCGGUAGAGUGGCGAACGGGUGAGUAAUACAUCGGAACGUAUCCUCGCGUGGGGGACAACCAGUCGAAAGACGGGCUAAUACCGCAUACGCUGGAGACAGGAAAGCAGGGGACCCGCAAGGGCCUUGUGCGCAUGGAGCGGCCGAUGUCUGAUUAGCUAGUUGGGNGGGGUAAAGGCUCACCAAGGCGACGAUCAGUAGCUGGUCUGA
This 269-nucleotide ribosomal RNA is filed under the name uncultured bacterium. RNAcentral describes it as "partial 16S ribosomal RNA". It matches the Rfam family "Bacterial small subunit ribosomal RNA", at positions 30 to 295 of the family's 1533-position model. The record is from RNAcentral.